UUUCUGCUCAAUGGGUGCUAAAUAGCCGCAGUAACUUGACUGUGCAAAGGUAGCAUAAUAAUUUGGCUUAUAAUUGAAGUCUGGUAUGAAUGAAUAUAUGGGUACCAACUGUCUCCGUUAUAUAAUAUGAAUUUACUGAUUGGGUGCAAAUUCCCAUCUCAAGAUAAUAGACGAGAAGACCCUAGAAAUUUUCAACUUACACUUUUUGCUGGGGCGGCAGAAUAACAUGAAACUUAUUUUACUAUAUUAUCUAACAUAUUACGAAAAAGCAAUUACUCUAGGGAUAACAGCAUAAUUUAUUUAGUUUGUGACCUCGAUGUUGGACUAAGGUAAUUACUAUUCAGAAGAUAGUAAUUGAUGCUCUGUUCGAGCAAAACUUCCU
Molecule: ribosomal RNA, 382 nt
Filed under: Helicodonta obvoluta
Lineage: Eukaryota; Metazoa; Mollusca; Gastropoda; Stylommatophora; Helicodontidae
Description: partial 16S ribosomal RNA
Rfam family: Archaeal large subunit ribosomal RNA
Source: RNAcentral